This 265-nucleotide ribosomal RNA is filed under the name uncultured prokaryote. Its description in RNAcentral is "partial 16S ribosomal RNA". It matches the Rfam family "Bacterial small subunit ribosomal RNA", at positions 524 to 788 of the family's 1533-position model. The record is from RNAcentral.
UACGUAGGGGCAAGCGUUAUCCGGAUUUACUGGGUGUAAAGGGAGCGCAGACGGAACUGCAAGUCUGAUGUGAAAGCCCGGGGCUCAACCGCGGGACUGCAUCGGAUACUGUGGAUCUGGAGUGCCGGAGGGGCAAGCGGAAUUCCUGGUGUAGCGGUGAAAUGCGUAGAUAUCAGGAGGAACACCGGCGGCGAAGGCGGCUUGCUGGACGGCAACUGACGUUGAGGCUCGAAAGCGUGGGGAGCAAGCAGGAUUAGAUACCCCU